CCUUUGUACACACCGCCCGUCGCUACUACCGAUUGAAUGGCUCAGUGAGGCCUUCGGACUGGCUCAGGAGGGUUGGCAACGACCCCCCAGAGCCGGAAAGCUCUCCAAACUCGGUCAUUUAGAGG
RNAcentral lists this ribosomal RNA (125 nucleotides) under Aspergillaceae sp. RNAcentral describes it as "partial small subunit ribosomal RNA". It matches the Rfam family "Eukaryotic small subunit ribosomal RNA", at positions 1657 to 1779 of the family's 1831-position model. The record is from RNAcentral. Lineage: Eukaryota; Fungi; Ascomycota; Eurotiomycetes; Eurotiales; Aspergillaceae.